UAAUGGUAUCGACACAACCGAAAUUUACAUCGAUACAUGAGCCGGACUGAAUCAAAGAAAUAUGUCCGAAUGGCCAUUUGGAACAACUUAUAUUAUUAUUUUAUCCGUCAUUAUGAUUGCUGACCACUCAUACUCUCUCUACAUGCGCAGGCUAAGAAGACAUCAGUUUAGCAUGUUUUAGUGUGACGUAGCUGAAAGUAGCGCUAGCAAGGCUUCACUCAGUAUAGUCGCUACAAAAUGCCGUUCAAACGUUUAAAUAGUUUUUUGAAGGAACUACUAAUGACCAAAUCUAAUGAAAUAUUCGGGCUGUUUGGAAGAACAAUAGUGUCGUAUGAGGAGGAACUUUCUCGACCACUGGGACGCAAGACUGCAACUGUGGCAAACAUUGCAGCAGAAGUCCAGGAGGUGAUUGGUUGUCAAGAAGUAUGUCCCCCUUAGUCGCAGCGGGGGAGCAAGCAAUAUAAUUCACACACAGUCCAUUUUAAAGAGGAGGAACUCUUGAUCAUUCAAGAGGGAUGGUGUUUUCAAGGGCAGCAGGAGACUGAUAUCGCCAAGUUGUCACUGACUGUUGUCCUUGUGAAGACUGAAAACCAUGAAGACAACCUCUUAGCCCCACUAUCAGAUAGUGAUGACUCAACGUUUCGCUCUCCUGAGGAGGAAUACAUGCUCAACGCCCAAGAACCUUUGAGCAGCGAUACAGACUGUGAAGGUAAUAUCAGGACUUGCGCUGACACUUUUUCAGAAUGCUGUGAAAAAAAAGGCAGCAACAAUAUCGCACAUGAGAUCACACAAGGGGCAAAAGCCUUUUAGUUGCCCCAUUUGUGCACAAAGAUUCUCUCAAAAGGCAAAACACAUGAGAAUGCACACAGGCGACAAACCCUCCAGCUGCUCAUUUUGUGGUAAAAGAGUAUUUCAAAAGGUAGAAAUUAUAUUACGUACACUGGUGAAAAACCUUUCAGUCGUUCAGUUUGCGGGGAACGUUACUCUCGAAAGUCCAACAUGGUAUCAGACAUGAAAACACACACGGGAGAAAAACCUUUUAGUUGCUCAGUUUGAGGUAAAAGCUUUUCUCACAAGCGCUAUUUGACUCAACACGUGGGGACACACACAGGGAAAAAACCUUUUGGUUGUUCAGUUUGUGGCGACAAAUUUGAAAAGAGGUACACUUUGAUGCGACACACGAGUACGCACACCGAGGAAAAGCCUUUCAGUUGUUCAGUUUCUGGCGAACAGUUCACUCGAAAGUCAUGAGGACUCACACAGAAGAAAAGCCUUUCAGGCUCUCGCUUUGUGGCGAAAGAUUCUCUCAAAAGUCACAUGUGAAAUCACGCGUUAGAUCGCACACAGGAGAAUAGCCUUUUAUGUGCUCAGUUGGUGGGAAGAGUUUCUCGUACAAGAAAACUUUGACAGCACACAUGCGAACACACAGCAUAUAAAAAUUCCCACGUCCAGUUUAGGCUAAAAUGUUUUAAUAAAUUGUAAUGUCACAUGUUAGAAGUCACCUAAAAAGUGAAAAGCUGCUGUGUAUAGGAUACCAUCAGCCCUACUUCCCACAGGACUUCAAUGUAUUUGUGGCAUUUGAAUCUUUUCAACAUGCAUGCAAAAUGUUUCCAAGUGUCCAAUAACACCAGAAGUUGCAAAAUAUGUUGCCAUUUUUUUUUCUGAAAAUAAAAUACAGGGACCUUGUUGUGUUCCACAUAGUG
Nerophis ophidion (straightnose pipefish) is the source of this 1703-nucleotide long non-coding RNA. RefSeq lists it as uncharacterized. NCBI's taxonomy places the organism in Eukaryota, Metazoa, Chordata, Actinopteri, Syngnathiformes, Syngnathidae. The transcript has 2 exons. The record is from RefSeq and is a predicted model, not a curated record.